This 2510-nucleotide ribosomal RNA is filed under the name Vibrio cholerae. RNAcentral's name for it is "bacterial LSU rRNA". It matches the Rfam family "Bacterial large subunit ribosomal RNA", at positions 451 to 2925 of the family's 2925-position model. The record is from RNAcentral. Lineage: Bacteria; Pseudomonadati; Pseudomonadota; Gammaproteobacteria; Vibrionales; Vibrionaceae.
GACCAUCCUCCAAGGCUAAAUACUCCUGACUGACCGAUAGUGAACCAGUACCGUGAGGGAAAGGCGAAAAGAACCCCUGUGAGGGGAGUGAAAUAGAACCUGAAACCGUGUACGUACAAGCAGUAGGAGCACCUUCGUGGUGUGACUGCGUACCUUUUGUAUAAUGGGUCAGCGACUUAUAUUCAGUGGCAAGGUUAACCGUAUAGGGGAGCCGUAGCGAAAGCGAGUCUUAACUGGGCGCUCAGUCUCUGGAUAUAGACCCGAAACCGGGUGAUCUAGCCAUGGGCAGGUUGAAGGUUGAGUAACAUCAACUGGAGGACCGAACCGACUAAUGUUGAAAAAUUAGCGGAUGACUUGUGGCUAGGGGUGAAAGGCCAAUCAAACUCGGAGAUAGCUGGUUCUCCCCGAAAGCUAUUUAGGUAGCGCCUCGGACGAAUACUACUGGGGGUAGAGCACUGUUAAGGCUAGGGGGUCAUCCCGACUUACCAACCCUUUGCAAACUCCGAAUACCAGUAAGUACUAUCCGGGAGACACACGGCGGGUGCUAACGUCCGUCGUGGAGAGGGAAACAACCCAGACCGCCAGCUAAGGUCCCAAAGUAUUGCUAAGUGGGAAACGAUGUGGGAAGGCUCAGACAGCUAGGAUGUUGGCUUAGAAGCAGCCAUCAUUUAAAGAAAGCGUAAUAGCUCACUAGUCGAGUCGGCCUGCGCGGAAGAUGUAACGGGGCUAAGCAAUACACCGAAGCUGCGGCAAUGUCUUUUAGACAUUGGGUAGGGGAGCGUUCUGUAAGCCGUUGAAGGUGAAUCGUAAGGUUUGCUGGAGGUAUCAGAAGUGCGAAUGCUGACAUGAGUAACGACAAAGGGGGUGAAAAACCUCCUCGCCGGAAGACCAAGGGUUCCUGUCCAACGUUAAUCGGGGCAGGGUGAGUCGACCCCUAAGGUGAGGCCGAAAGGCGUAAUCGAUGGGAAACGGGUUAAUAUUCCCGUACUUCUGACUAUUGCGAUGGGGGGACGGAGAAGGCUAGGUGGGCCAGGCGACGGUUGUCCUGGUUCAAGUGCGUAGGCUUGAGAGUUAGGUAAAUCCGGCUCUCUCUAAGGCUGAGACACGACGUCGAGCUACUACGGUAGUGAAGUCAUUGAUGCCAUGCUUCCAGGAAAAGCCUCUAAGCUUCAGAUAGUCAGGAAUCGUACCCCAAACCGACACAGGUGGUCGGGUAGAGAAUACCAAGGCGCUUGAGAGAACUCGGGUGAAGGAACUAGGCAAAAUGGUACCGUAACUUCGGGAGAAGGUACGCUCUUGAUGGUGAAGUCCCUCGCGGAUGGAGCUGACGAGAGUCGCAGAUACCAGGUGGCUGCAACUGUUUAUUAAAAACACAGCACUGUGCAAAAUCGCAAGAUGACGUAUACGGUGUGACGCCUGCCCGGUGCCGGAAGGUUAAUUGAUGGGGUUAGCGCAAGCGAAGCUCUUGAUCGAAGCCCCGGUAAACGGCGGCCGUAACUAUAACGGUCCUAAGGUAGCGAAAUUCCUUGUCGGGUAAGUUCCGACCUGCACGAAUGGCGUAAUGAUGGCCACGCUGUCUCCACCCGAGACUCAGUGAAAUUGAAAUCGCUGUGAAGAUGCAGUGUACCCGCGGCUAGACGGAAAGACCCCGUGAACCUUUACUACAGCUUGGCACUGAACAUUGAACCUACAUGUGUAGGAUAGGUGGGAGGCUAUGAAGACGUGACGCCAGUUGCGUUGGAGCCGUCCUUGAAAUACCACCCUUGUAUGUUUGAUGUUCUAACUUAGACCCGUUAUCCGGGUUGAGGACAGUGCCUGGUGGGUAGUUUGACUGGGGCGGUCUCCUCCCAAAGAGUAACGGAGGAGCACGAAGGUGGGCUAAUCACGGUUGGACAUCGUGAGGUUAGUGCAAUGGCAUAAGCCCGCUUAACUGCGAGAAUGACGGUUCGAGCAGGUGCGAAAGCAGGUCAUAGUGAUCCGGUGGUUCUGUAUGGAAGGGCCAUCGCUCAACGGAUAAAAGGUACUCCGGGGAUAACAGGCUGAUACCGCCCAAGAGUUCAUAUCGACGGCGGUGUUUGGCACCUCGAUGUCGGCUCAUCACAUCCUGGGGCUGAAGUCGGUCCCAAGGGUAUGGCUGUUCGCCAUUUAAAGUGGUACGCGAGCUGGGUUUAGAACGUCGUGAGACAGUUCGGUCCCUAUCUGCCGUGGGCGUUGGAAGAUUGAAGGGGGCUGCUCCUAGUACGAGAGGACCGGAGUGGACGAACCUCUGGUGUUCGGGUUGUGUCGCCAGACGCAUUGCCCGGUAGCUAAGUUCGGAAUUGAUAAGCGCUGAAAGCAUCUAAGCGCGAAGCGAGCCCUGAGAUGAGUCUUCCCUGACAGUUUAACUGUCCUAAAGGGUUGUUCGAGACUAGAACGUUGAUAGGCAGGGUGUGUAAGCGUUGUGAGGCGUUGAGCUAACCUGUACUAAUUGCCCGUGAGGCUUAACCAUACAACACCCAAGGGGUUUUGUA